UUGGUUCUCCAUUACUGCCUACUUGAAAGGGGUCAUUGGCCAGCAGGAAGGGCCGAAUGUGGCCAGAGGCAGGGGACUGCGCAGAUGCACGAGAGAAACUAUGAACCUUGAAAGGGCGGAGGGUAGUGAGCUGCACCAAGGGGGCGAGAGGAGGGAGGAGGGAGAGAUGCCUCCUGGCCAGGUCUGGGCCCCAGUGGCCCAGGGCAAAGCGGAGGAGAGCGGGUAGGGAGAGGGAGAGGCCCCUCACUCACAGGGCCUGUGGGGCCGCCUGCAGCCCCGGGCCCUACUCUGCCAUGGGUGCCUUGGCCGCCCACGCUGACCAGACCCAGGGAACAAAGGGGCUGAGCCUAUCCAGCCUCAAGCCCAGCAGCCACCCUGGCGGUCUGGCUCUACUCGAAUUUGCCCAACCUCCCAGUGCCUUCUGCCACGCCUGCGCCGAGCCGAGGCCCGUGUCACUGCGCUCCCAUUUCAACAAACCCCUCUGGAUGCGCUUUCUUGUUGUGAGGGCUGCCAAGGCUUCUGCAGAAGGCCCCGCGUGUGACCCAGGACACUGCCCCUGCCCGUUGGGGGCUGAGUCCCCCCUGCUUCGCCACUGGCCAGUCUCUAACACGGAGAAGGGCUGGGCUGACGCUCUUUGGGUUCCAGGAGGUGAGGACAGGGUCUGAAGCCCUUUCCGCAGGUCCUUCUGGACUGGACCAAGGGCAGGGGUAAUGGGGCAGUCCACAGGUGCGGGUGUGGGAGGGCAGUCUGCCCACUGUCGUUUCUGGAUCUCAGCUGGAGGCCUUCUGCAGCCUGGCUGGGGCCACUGCCCAUGCACAGGGCACCUGCUCCAUGGGUCUGGGCUCUUCCCAUGUGCAUGUGUGUGCGUGAGACAGAGCAUGAGUUGUUUCUGUCCCUAGCAUGGCCACUGGCUGCCUGUGGCAGGUGCCCUGUCCCAUCCUGUACUCUGAUCUUUGGCAGGAAUGUGAUGAGGAGGGUCGAAGGCCCCUCUGCCAAUCACCUUCAGUGUGGCAUAAGGCCUGGGGGCAGCCAGGUCACUUGAGCCACUGAGGAGUCCAAGGGCCCCACACAGGGGGACCAGGGGCAGAUCUGAACUCAUGGGCAGCUCAGCCCUGGGAGUCUCAGGCUGGCUGCAACUGAGGGUCUUGGGGUCUUGGGUGGAGGGCCCUCUCUAAUUUUCAGUCUUCCUCUGGAGGCUGUGUGUCCCAGGAACUCUGGCCCCCAACAUGGUUGGCGCGGCCCUGGGAAGGUGGCACUGUCCUUGGGCACUGCCUCCACUGCAGCAGUCCAGAGGGUGCCGUGCCCAGCGCCCCUGGAAGGUCAGCUCCACCCUACUAGCUGCCAGGUCCGGCCACAGGGAGGGAAGUAGCCAGGCGAGCCGCCACCGAGGCCUGGGGCAGCCACAGGCAUACCGCGUCUUCCACCAGAUGCGUCUGUGGAACAUUAGAGCUUCAUUGCAGGAUGUGGUGUUAAAUAAAAGCAUUAGCGUUUGGAAUUAGGUUUUACUGAGCAGCGAAACUGGAGGGUGUGCAGGGAGAGGGCCCCGGCCUCCUCCCUGAUAAAUCAGCUCUGGUCUCUCCAGCUGCUGAAUUAAAAAUGAGCCUUCCCGGCACCUCCCGGCAGCCCAGGCCCCUCUCCCUGCAGGUGUCCAGUGUACUGCUUUCCUGGCCACUUUGGGAUCCAUGGGUGGAGUGUCCCGGGUGUGAGGUUCUGAGUGUUUCCACAGGGAGGGGACCCCACCAGCAUGGCACGUGGGUGCCCAGGACUUUCUUGCACAGGGCCUUUGCUUGGGAAGCACGGUGGGUAGGUUGGGUGGGGCACAGAUUUGCUGACUGUGCCCACCCAGCAGGGCUACCUGGGAGUGCCACCCCAGACAUGCUGAUAAGGUUGGGAACUCUAGGGGAGAAAGGAGCCUGGAGGUGCCGUGGGAGCCAGAGGGGACCUGGGUGGAAGGGGGUGGCUUGGGCCCCGCUCUGAGCUUGUCGGAACAGGGCUACGCCUCGCAGGGCUCCUGGGGCUCCGGGGACACAGUUGGAUGGCAGGCCUGAGCCCUGCCGGGAAGUGGUAGUAGCUCCAAGAGUCUUGGCUCCAAAGUGCAGGGGAC
Molecule: long non-coding RNA, 2104 nt
Filed under: Marmota monax (woodchuck)
Lineage: Eukaryota; Metazoa; Chordata; Mammalia; Rodentia; Sciuridae
Source: RNAcentral